This 254-nucleotide ribosomal RNA is filed under the name uncultured bacterium. Its description in RNAcentral is "partial 16S ribosomal RNA". It matches the Rfam family "Bacterial small subunit ribosomal RNA", at positions 524 to 776 of the family's 1533-position model. The record is from RNAcentral.
UACGGAGGGUGCAAGCGUUAUCCGGAUUCACUGGGUUUAAAGGGCGCGUAGGCGGUCGUGACAAGUCACUUGUGAAAUCUCCGGGCUUAACUCGGAACGGUCAAGUGAUACUGUCGGACUAGAGUACAGAAGGGGCAACUGGAAUUCUCGGUGUAGCGGUGAAAUGCGUAGAUAUCGAGAGGAACACCUGCGGCGAAGGCGGGUUGCUGGGCUGAUACUGACGCUGAGGCGCGAAAGCCAGGGGAGCGAACGGG